AUGUGGAAUCAUCAUGUGCUUUCAACAUCUGAUCCAGCACUCACCUCCUGCUCUUUAGGUCUUAUUGCUUUGACCCCGUCGCACCUUCACUCCUUUUCCUCCCUGGUGUCUCCCCCUCUGCAUCUCCCCCUCCUCUCUUCCUUGCCCAGGAUCUUGUCUAUGGAGUGUGACAGAACCUCUGAGGCCUCAGGUUUGCCAUCCCCACAGAUCCCCGCUGUGUUUCACCUUCUGACACCUGACGGCGAGGCACCAGUACCUGCACAAAUCAACACUCCACAGGAGUAUUUCUCCUAGCUGCCUCAGGAGGCUGCUGGCAGACACGCUGUAUGCUGGAACUGUCAACACCACAAACUCUCUUAAAGGUAGAUGAAGCUGCUGUGGUGAUGCGAGGCAAAUGACACACACACACACACACACACAUACACAUACACACAGCCUGUGUACACAUUGCUGAACCCUGUGUACACUUCGUCUUUUGACAGUCAUUAAUGAGAUGAAUCCAUACGCUAAGAUAACAAGUCCCCAUGUGUGGAUCAUAAAACAGCCGCUGCAGUCAUCAUCCACUCAUCAGUUACUCUCAUAUGUAUAAUUCUUUAGACAGAAAAUGACUAUGUAUUGUUAACCACGUGUUGAACAUCAACGCGUGUUUGUGAUGAUGAAUGUGUAACAUACAAGGAAGUCCACAAGAAAGGUAAUGGAUUCUCGCCACAAUUCAAAGCACACUGAACUUCUGAAGUAUAAAAGUUAAAAUCCUUUAAUAUUGAUCAGACCAAUCACCUCCUAGACCCAGAUCAGAACAACUCUAGUUCUAUUUAGAACAUGGGUUAGUGGUGCACUUCGGCCUCUUGUGACUAAAAUGAAAGUUACAAUAACAAACAUGAUGAUCCAGAAAAACUAUAUUUUUCACUUUUGUUUUUACAGAUUAAGUAACAUAGAAAAGUGUAGGAUAUAGUGGCAUCUAGCAAUGUAGCUGCUGAUUGUGUAAGUCUGUAAAUGCGUACAUAAAUCUCUAAAUGUGUAGACAAAUCUGUAAAUGCAGACAAACAUAUUAUUGGCUGAGAAGUAUUUGCUCAAAGAACAGGAAAUACAGACAACUUGUCAGUUACGACUCAGACGGGACUCUCAGUUAGCCCUUAUACAUGUGACCUUUGCUCCACUUGUGCCAUGGCAUUUAUACAUUUGUCUACACAUUUACAAAUCUGAUUAUGCCCACACAGAUUCUGAACACACAUUUGUAGAUUCCCAUACACAUUCACACACCUCAGUACAUAUUUACAGAUUCUUUUCAGAUUACUUUUUUGCCCAUUAAAUUAGCAUAAAAUGGAACUUCAUCUUUGGCACUGGCAUAUGUCCCAACAAUGAUACAUAAUAUAACAUCACACAAUAAUUCUAUGUUACGGUAGAAAAGCUAAAGUGACUUUGUGGCAAGUGAUGGGUGAUGAUAUCAAUCAUCACAAUAAUGUAUUAUAUAGAGCAGUAAUACAUAGCAGUUAAAUGUAUUUAAAAAAUAAUUUUAAAAAUGGAUAUUACUUUUUUAUUUUAUACAUUUACAAAUCUGAUAACGCACACACAACUCUCCACUAACAUUUGUAAAUAGGUUUGCUACAAUAAUGGCCCCAUAGUAUUGUCGUUGAUUUCACCCCCUUAGUACCCCCGUACAGGACCCCCGCCACUCUGACUGACUGUGUCUACUGGUUGUUGUAGUUCUGUCAGACCACACAUUGCUGCUGUGCAGCAGUUUGUUGUUGAUUAUGUGGCUUUAUUGUUUUUGGCUGUUUGGAGCUCCAAUGUCCAACUGUAUUCAUUUGCUUUCUAUCCUUGGCUCCUUGUCCAGCUAAAGUCUUUUUAUCCUUUGUCUGACAGAGGUUUGAGCAAGUUAUUGGUAUCCAUGGUGCCAGUCAUCUUUCUUCUUCUUCUUUUUGUGUUUGUCCUUGUUUCUUGUGAGGUUAUCUGGUUGAAAAGCCUUGUUCUGAGAAACAGGAACUUACGUUUGCUGGCAACUGAUGGCCUGUUUAUGCCAUGACUAUUCUUUUUGUCCAUUGUACAUAAAAUGGUAGGUGGACUGUCUUUAUAUUGUGUUUUUCUAGUCUACUGUCCACUCAAAGCACUUUACUACACAUGCCAACAUCUACCAAAUCACACACACACAUUGAUGGCUGAGGCUGCCAUGAAAGGUGCCAUCUCAUCAGCAGCAGUUACAGGAUCAGUGAUCAGUUCAGGUUCUGUGUGUUAAAUUCAACAUGUGGAGUUGAGAACAUCAAUAUGUCAAUACAGCCACAGAUCAUUAAGACGUCUUGUGUCCAAAACCAGUAAUCUGACACAUACACGUGUGUGUGUGUGUGUGUGUGUGUGUGUGUGUGUGUGUGUGUGUGUGCGUGCGUGCGUGUGUGUGUGUGUGUGUGUGGGUGUGUGUGGUGUGUGACGUGUGUGGGUGUGUGUGUGUGUGUGUGUGUGUCCUCUCUGUGAACCCCUGCACUGUGUUUCACCCUCUCUACAGAUCUGUAGCUGUGUUGCAAGCCGACUGAUCCCAGAUCUGUGUCAUAAGGGAAAUCAGUCAGUAAACGCUCUGGUGAUCUGUCUGGUGAUGUUGUAGCACUUCCCUGUGGUCAUCCAGCACAGAGCACAAGAUGCUGAGCUCUUCUGCGCUGUGUGUGAUUUGACCACUAGAUGGAGCUGUUGCACACAGAACCCCCACAGAGCCUGUUGGCUGAAACCACAGACUUGAUAAGGUUAGAGCAAGGAGGCAGCAGGAUCUUCAGUGUUUGGUAUUCCACUGCUGUGUAUGUAAGUGCUUUGUAUUUUAGGUGUAUAAGAAAAAGCAGACAAUCAGCACUGACUGCAGAUGCAGUGAGAUUCAUCUCUCCAUGACCCAUAGGGAACUGCAUUGGGACGUCUGAUUCUGGUUCUGUGUUUUAAUGACUUCUGCCAGCAUCAGGGCUGAAAUGCAACAUACUCUAUGAUGUUGGAUUCAAAUGUCCACUUAUUGGACUAGUACUAAUAAGAUUCAAACCAACCUUAUGGCCAUUUGCUUCCACAAUUCCAGCUCCACACCCAAAAAACUGGUCACACAACAGUAUGUCAACUUAAACCAGUAUACCAGCACACCUCUAGUUUAUAUUUGGAGUUUGGCUAUUGUCUGAUGAUGAUUUAUCCUCUGGGAGCCAAUGUUUCAGGGCUUCUGGUGUAGCGGGAUAAUGGAUAUCUGGGGCAAAACUACCUCUGCAGUCCGAUUACCUGAGACACUAGAAUGACAACAGACACAUUUUCAGAUACCUGCAUAUAAAUGCAAAUACAAUAAAAACAGCUUAUAAAAAGCAAAAUUGUCAUCAGAUGAUUGCUGAUGGGUUCCAAGAUUACAUUUCAACCAGCGCGUUCAAUUCAGCAAUAAGAGUCGGCUCUUUCAGCUUCCGAAUGGCUCUUCAUUUAACACCGCUUUUAUAGUUCAGCCAAUUUAGAAAUGUUUUGAUUUUUGAUUAGUGUGUGUGCUCAUAUAUCACUUACAUUUCCCAAGGUACUUACAAUUAACCUUAGAAUACCAUAAUUUUAGACUGUGUUUGGUAUUAAAAACCUUGAAUAAUGUAAAUAUCAAAAAACAUUACACGUGUGUAUUGAGAGUCACUGUCAACAACCAACUACCAUUCUGAGAUGGGUCAUUUGUUAGGGGAAAGAAAGAAAGAAAGAAAGAAAGAAAGAAAGAAAGAAAGAAAGAAAGAAAUUCUCAGUUAAAGAAGCAGAUUACACAAAUUACACAUCACUAGAAACCAGAAUGCUUCCGAUGCUGAAAUCUCAGUCCCUUGCCUUCAGAUUCAGCGGUCAUAUACAGAUAUCUGCUUAUAGAGAUUAACAGCAGAUUAGAUUAAAAUGGAAUCAGUGCCGGGUCCAUUUGGUUUGGGCAUAACAAAACCUCCACAAUGAAAUGGAAAGAGCUGUAGAGAGAGAGACAGGUGUUCACCAGUCAGUGAUAAAAGUAAGCAAAGGCAGAGAUAGUCAUUAAUCACUGUGACUGCUGUGGACAGGACUGACUCCACCAGACACUGCAGCUCUACAAUGUAUGGCUACUGUAUGCACACACACACACACACACACACACAGAUAAAGAUACAGUACAGUUUAUCUCUGCGUCCUGAAUGACCUCAGAGUGAGGCCUGUUCCCAAGCUCUUACAUAACGCCUGAUGCCGAUCAAUAACUACCAGCGCAGAGGGAGAGGUGUCGGCUGAAGCAGAGCGGCCCGUUGGGAGGAUGAGACAGACCUUGAUCAGGCCCGCCCGAGGGAGCGGCAGCCAACGGGGGGAAAAGGAUUAGCAUGGCU
RNAcentral lists this long non-coding RNA (4310 nucleotides) under Dicentrarchus labrax (European seabass). RNAcentral describes it as "lncRNA (ENSDLAG00005030124.1)". The record is from RNAcentral. Lineage: Eukaryota; Metazoa; Chordata; Actinopteri; Moronidae.